GUCUUUUUCAAGACGCCCUGACGAAGAUAUUAGACGCCACGCGUCCCUAGUUUCGCGAUAAAUAAUUCUCUCGAAGCAUGGUCGAUAAAUCUCCGUCGAUAAGCAGGAAUCUCGAAGUGUUUCCAUACCAGGGGGCAACGUGGACGUUCCGUAACCGCGAUUUGUAAGACAAAUGCGUUCCUCAUCUAACCAUCUGUUAAGUAUGUUUCGCCCGCGCGAUACGUUUGACACCGACGAUCGAGGGUUACGGAUCGUCGACGACGCUCAGCCUUCGCCGUGUCCCUUUCUCUCUCCUUUCUUUUUUACGAGACAGCGUAGAGGCAGGGUAGGAGACCCGAAUCCUGAAGCAGUGGACCGUGAAUGCGAUACCAGGUUCGCAGUGCUUCGACAGGGGGGUUGGCGCCGUCAAACAACCGUUCGUCGACCAUCCCUCCACGAACCCAUCCUCCGCAGGUUAUGCAAGUGUGACCGCGGUAGAUUUUGGCGGGAAACAGCAGUGUUACUAACCUUUGUCAAGAUACAUGGAAAAAUUCCCACGAAGUCCCGACAAACAGGUCACGAGAGUCAUAAUAUUUGGCUGUAACGCGAAACGAUUGCGCGUAAACACGUGCAAGCAAGAUGGGCGGUAUCGUCGCUUCGAAGAAUGGAACACGUGUCACGUAUUGUGGAGAAAAAGCCGAGUCGUUCGCCACAAAGGAAGAUUACGAGUUCCCUGCCGCUUUGAAAGUACACCUGACAGAGGAUCGAGGUGUAUCUAUCCAUACACGUUGAGAUUAGAGUGCGUCAAGUAGUAUGUCAGUCCCAUUCGAAGACACAAACCCGUCCGUUGAACCGGUAGAGCAAGGCCUAUGGACGUUACGUUGUCAUCGGAGUAUGGUCUAGAAGAGAUAGAAAAUAUUUUUCUUAUCUAUCACCGAGAUAGUAUACUCCCAUUAUUAUAUCAGUUAUGAAAUAUUAACCUGAAAACGAAUGUUAUGAAAAUGAGAAAUAUGAUUAAAUUCGUCGACGAACAAACGACGCCUGGCGAAAACGUUUUCUCGACCAUAUAUCGCGAUCGUUUCCACGCCAUAGAUCACCACUCACGUGCUGCUGCGUGCCGGAUCAUCGAUCACGAUUAGUCCUCAGGACCUGCCAGAAGUUCAUCGAUUUUCCAGCCACCCUAAAAUCGGCAGUUCAUGCGUUCCUCGAUGGGGGACCCUGCACCCUUCUCCGAAAACUCUAUCACGAUUAAAAAAAAAAUUAAUGUUUGAAUGAUUUCAAGUGCAACACUUCCUCUGGAUUCCUCCCAUCCAACUCCCCAGAAGUCGAGUACUCGCGAAGACAACCUUGAUGCCGCAUCAACGGAAAGAAACGUUCACUUUCGAGACGAACUUGG
Molecule: long non-coding RNA, 1375 nt
Organism: Hylaeus volcanicus
Lineage: Eukaryota; Metazoa; Arthropoda; Insecta; Hymenoptera; Colletidae
Exons: 5
Source: RefSeq, a predicted model, not a curated record